RNAcentral lists this ribosomal RNA (447 nucleotides) under uncultured Syntrophomonas sp. Its description in RNAcentral is "bacterial SSU rRNA". It matches the Rfam family "Bacterial small subunit ribosomal RNA", at positions 355 to 794 of the family's 1533-position model. Lineage: Bacteria; Bacillati; Bacillota; Clostridia; Eubacteriales; Syntrophomonadaceae. The record is from RNAcentral.
UGGGGAAUAUUGCGCAAUGGGGGGAACCCUGACGCAGCGACGCCGCGUGAGCGAAGAAGGCCUUCGGGUUGUAAAGCUCUGUUUUAAGGGUACGAAACGUAGUGGUAGGAAAUGACCAUUGCCUGACGGUACCUUAAGAGAAAGCCCCGGCUAACUACGUGCCAGCAGCCGCGGUAAGACGUAGGGGCGAGCGUUGUCCGGAAUUACUGGGCGUAAAGAGCACGUAGGCGGAAACUUAAGUCCAUUGUGAAAGACCGGGGCUCAACCCCGGGGUUGCAGUGGAAACUGAAUUUCUUGAGGGCAGGAGAGGAAAGCGGAAUUCCUGGUGUAGCGGUGAAAUGCGUAGAAAUCAGGAGGAACACCGGUGGCGAAGGCGGCUUUCUGGACUGACCCUGACGCUGAGGUGCGAAAGCGUGGGUAGCAAACAGGAUUAGAUACCCUGGUAGU